AUUGAACGCUGGCGGCAGGCUUAACACAUGCAAGUCGAGCGGGGUGAUGGUGCUUGCACUAUUACUUAGCGGCGGACGGGUGAGUAAUGCUUAGGAAUCUGCCUAUUAGUGGGGGACAACAUCUCGAAAGGGAUGCUAAUACCGCAUACGUCCUACGGGAGAAAGCAGGGGAUCACUUGCGACCUUGCGCUAAUAGAUGAGCCUAAGUCGGAUUAGCUAGUUGGUGGGGUAAAGGCCUACCAAGGCGACGAUCUGUAGCGGGUCUGAGAGGAUGAUCCGCCACACUGGGACUGAGACACGGCCCAGACUCCUACGGGAGGCAGCAGUGGGGAAUAUUGGACAAUGGGGGGAACCCUGAUCCAGCCAUGCCGCGUGUGUGAAGAAGGCCUUAUGGUUGUAAAGCACUUUAAGCGAGGAGGAGGCUCUUUUGGUUAAUACCCAAGGUGAGUGGACGUUACUCGCAGAAUAAGCACCGGCUAACUCUGUGCCAGCAGCCGCGGUAA
RNAcentral lists this ribosomal RNA (503 nucleotides) under uncultured bacterium. RNAcentral describes it as "partial 16S ribosomal RNA". It matches the Rfam family "Bacterial small subunit ribosomal RNA", at positions 30 to 523 of the family's 1533-position model. The record is from RNAcentral.